Molecule: transfer RNA, 58 nt
Filed under: Salmo salar (Atlantic salmon)
Lineage: Eukaryota; Metazoa; Chordata; Actinopteri; Salmoniformes; Salmonidae
Rfam family: tRNA
About the family: Transfer RNA (tRNA) molecules are approximately 80 nucleotides in length. Their secondary structure includes four short double-helical elements and three loops (D, anti-codon, and T loops).
Source: Rfam by way of RNAcentral
UAGCUCAGUUGGUAGAGCAUGGUGCUUGUAACGCCAGGGUAGUGGGUUCAAUUCCCUC